AUAAAGCGGAGGUAUUCGGGGAGACAGGUGGUGCAUGGUUGUCGUCAGCUCGUGUCGUGAGAUGUUGGGUUAAGUCCCGCAACGAGCGCAACCCCUAUUGCUAGUUACCAUCAUUAAGUUGGGGACUCUAGCGAGACUGCCAGUGAUAAACUGGAGGAAGGUGGGGGAUGACGUCAAAUCAUCAUGCCCCUUAUGACCUGGGCUACAAACGUGAUACAAUGGCUGGAACAAAGGGAUGCGAAGCAGUGAUGUGGAGCGAAACCCAUAAAAACAGUCUCAGUUCGGAUUGAAGUCUGCAACUCGACUUCAUGAAGUCGGAAUCGCUAGUAAUCGCGGAUCAGAACGCCGCGGUGAAUACGUUCUCGGGGUUU
This 371-nucleotide ribosomal RNA is filed under the name uncultured Acholeplasma sp. RNAcentral's name for it is "bacterial SSU rRNA". It matches the Rfam family "Bacterial small subunit ribosomal RNA", at positions 1014 to 1382 of the family's 1533-position model. Lineage: Bacteria; Bacillati; Mycoplasmatota; Mollicutes; Acholeplasmatales; Acholeplasmataceae. The record is from RNAcentral.